GAUGAACGCUGGCGGCGUGCCUAAUACAUGCAAGUCGAGCGAAUGGAUUAAGAGCUUGCUCUUAUGAAGUUAGCGGCGGACGGGUGAGUAACACGUGAGUAACCUGCCCAUAAGACUGGGAUAACUCCGGGACACCGGGGCUAAUACCGGAUAACAUUUUGAACCGCAUGGUUCGAAAUUGAAAGGCGGCUUCGGCUGUCACUUAUGGAUGGACCCGCGUCGGAUUAGCUAGUUGGUGAGGUAACGGCUAACCAAGGCAACGAUGCGUAGCCGACCUGCGAGGGUGAUCGGCCCAACAGGGACUGAGACACGGGCCAGACUCCUACGGGAGGCAGCAGUAGGGAAUCUUCAGCAAUGGACGAAAGUCUGACGGAGCAACGCCGCGUGAGUGAUGAAGGCUCUCGGGUCGUAAAACUCUGUUGUUAGGGAAGAACAAGUGCUAGUUGAAUAAGCUGGCACCUUGACGGUACCUAACCAGAAAGCCACGGCUAACUACGUGCCAGCCGCCGCAGUAA
Molecule: ribosomal RNA, 515 nt
Filed under: uncultured bacterium
Lineage: Bacteria
Description: partial 16S ribosomal RNA
Rfam family: Bacterial small subunit ribosomal RNA
Source: RNAcentral